GCUGCUGUGGUGAAAUAGGUAUACACAAAGCUUUCAAAAAGCUUCGACUUCAUGUCUUAUCGGUUCGAGUCCGAUCAGCAGCA
This 83-nucleotide transfer RNA is filed under the name Micractinium conductrix. RNAcentral describes it as "Micractinium sp. TP-2008b tRNA". It matches the Rfam family "tRNA". Rfam says of the family: Transfer RNA (tRNA) molecules are approximately 80 nucleotides in length. Lineage: Eukaryota; Viridiplantae; Chlorophyta; Trebouxiophyceae; Chlorellales; Chlorellaceae. The record is from Rfam by way of RNAcentral.